This 253-nucleotide ribosomal RNA is filed under the name uncultured bacterium. RNAcentral's name for it is "partial 16S ribosomal RNA". It matches the Rfam family "Bacterial small subunit ribosomal RNA", at positions 524 to 776 of the family's 1533-position model. The record is from RNAcentral.
UACGAGUGCCCCAAGCGUUAUCCGGAAUCAUUGGGCGUAAAGGGUGUGUAGGCGGUCGGGUUAGUCUCCUGUCAAAUUCUUCGGCUCAACCGGGGGUCCGCAGGGGAAACGGCACGACUAGAGGAUGCGAGAGGUGAAUGGAACUCAUGGAGUAGGGGUGAAAUCCGUUGAUAUCAUGGGGAACACCGAAUGCGAAGGCAGUUCACUGGCGCACUCCUGACGCUGAGACACGAAAGCGUAGGUAGCGAAUGGG